ACGUAGGGGGCUAGCGUUGUCCGGAAUCAUUGGGCGUAAAGCGCGUGUAGGCGGUUCGGUAAGUCCGCUGUGAAAGUCGGGGGCUCAACCCUCGAAUGCCGGUGGAUACUGUCGGACUAGAGUACGGAAGAGGCGAGUGGAAUUCCUGGUGUAGCGGUGGAAUGCGCAGAUAUCAGGAGGAACACCGAUGGCGAAGGCAGGUCUCUGGGCCAUUACUGACACUGAGAAGCGAAAGCAUGGGGAGCGAACAGGA
This 253-nucleotide ribosomal RNA is filed under the name uncultured prokaryote. RNAcentral's name for it is "partial 16S ribosomal RNA". It matches the Rfam family "Bacterial small subunit ribosomal RNA", at positions 525 to 777 of the family's 1533-position model. The record is from RNAcentral.